CAUUUCUACGCCUGGUUUUCUUCCGUGCACCCAAUUAAUCAAUCUUGCUGGUUUCUCUGAUAUCUCUCAUCUUCAUGAGGGCUUGGCAUUCUCGAAAAAGUCUUUCUUUCUUUCGUUCUUGUUGGCAUGAACGUGGUAGUGACUCUGAUUCCAUGCCCACCGAGUAAUUACCCGUUUUGGAAUAGUUCUCUCCUCGAAGAAUCAGAAGCAUCAUGGGGAGGGGGGGGAGGGUUCAGGUUAUUAUUGCCAUGAAAUAAACACAGGUCCUACAUGCUCCAAAUACUGUUGAGGGAAUUGAAGAAAGCUCUAUAUAAUGCACACCAUGCUAAGAUCACAGAUAGAUAGAUAGAUGGAUAGAUAGACAGAGAGAGAAGACUAAUUGACGAAACAAGUGAUUAUUACAAUGUGAGAUCAGAGACUUUGAAUGAAGGGAAUAUAAUAAUACACCAUGAAAUAAAAACACAUUCUAGAUAUUCCAAAGGCUUUUGGGGAAUUUGAAGAAAGCUAUGUCCAUAAUACACACACCAUGCUAAGAUCAGACAGAGAGAGAGAGAGAGCAGUGAUUGAUGGAGCAAGUGAUUAUCACAAUGCGGGUGGGAUCAGAGACUGCGAUGAUGAAUGAUGGUAAUGGGGGCAAAAUUUCCUCGCAGGGCCGAUUCUUCUGGAGGAUUACCAUCUGAUCGAGAAGAUCGCGCAGUUCGACAGGGAGCGGAUCCCCGAGCGGGUCGUCCACGCCAGGGGAGCCAGCGCCAAGGGCUUCUUCGAGGUCACCCACGACAUCACCCACCUCACCUGCGCUGACUUCCUCCGCGCGCCGGGCGUCCAGACCCCGGUGAUCGUGCGCUUCUCCACCGUCAUCCACGAGAGGGGGAGCCCCGAAACCCUCAGGGACCCCCGCGGCUUCGCCGUCAAGUUCUACACCAGAGAGGUACGUGAGCUCGUGAAUAAACCUCGCCCUUUCGGAAUCAUGGGCCAUAAACCUUCUUCCUUUUUUCUUUUUUUUUUUUGUGUUUUUCUUCAGGGGAAUUUCGAUCUCGUAGGGAACAACUUCCCGGUGUUCUUCAUCCGGGAUGGGAUGAAGUUCCCCGACAUGGUCCACGCUCUGAAGCCCAACCCGGUGUCGCACAUCCAGGAGAACUGGAGGAUCCUCGACUUCUUCUCCCACCACCCGGAGAGCCUCCACAUGUUCACCUUUCUCUUCGACGACAUCGGCAUCCCCGCUGACUACAGGCACAUGGACGGCUCCGGGGUCAACACCUACACCCUGGUCAACAGGGCGGGGAAGGCCCACUACGUGAAGUUCCACUGGAAGCCCACUUGCGGGGUGAAGUCCCUGCUGGAGGAGGAAGCCGUGGUGGUCGGAGGCACCAACCACAGCCACGCCACCAAGGACCUCUACGACUCCAUUGCCGCCGGAAACUACCCAGAGUGGAAGCUCUACAUUCAGACCAUCGACCCGGACCACGAGGACAGGUUUGACUUUGACCCACUUGACGUCACCAAGACCUGGCCCGAAGACAUCAU
This 1524-nucleotide long non-coding RNA is filed under the name Spirodela polyrhiza (greater duckweed). RNAcentral's name for it is "long non-coding RNA (SPOL_LNC000574)". The record is from RNAcentral. Lineage: Eukaryota; Viridiplantae; Streptophyta; Magnoliopsida; Alismatales; Araceae.